RNAcentral lists this ribosomal RNA (253 nucleotides) under uncultured bacterium. RNAcentral describes it as "partial 16S ribosomal RNA". It matches the Rfam family "Bacterial small subunit ribosomal RNA", at positions 524 to 776 of the family's 1533-position model. The record is from RNAcentral.
UACAGAGGUCCCAAGCGUUGUUCGGAUUCACUGGGCGUAAAGGGUGCGUAGGCGGUCGGGUAAGUCUGAUGUGAAAUCUCCAAGCCUAACUUGGAAACUGCAUUGGAUACUAUCCGGCUCGAGGAAUGGAGGGGAGACUGGAAUACUUGGUGUAGCAGUGAAAUGCGUAGAUAUCAAGUGGAACACCAGUGGCGAAGGCGAGUCUCUGGACAUUUCCUGACGCUGAGGCACGAAAGCCAGGGGAGCGAACGGG